AAAUAAAAGGUUGAUUCAGAUAUCACUUAUCGUCCUGUCGGACUGAAAAAUAUAUUCCGCACGUACUUUACGAUUUUUUACUAUUUAUAUCUAACGUUAUUCUCCUGUUUGUACAGUUGUAACGAUAACUAAAUCGUAAUAGCUAUGUAGUGUAAUACGUGGAACACACGAAACGCAGUUGACUAUCCCUCGUAGACAAUUCUCGUGCCAGAGGACUAGCAACAAUCUAGGACUAAUUAGAAUUCAGAUGAAACGGCCGAUUCUAACGACGACGGUCAACUACAAAAGACCAUACUGCUCUGCAACGAUCCUAAGGCGACGUUGGGUAAUCGAACGAAACGAGAACUCAACGUCUCAGACUACUCUAACCUUGACGAAGGUCUCUCUUCCUCGAACUUACCAGGAUAAUAUGAGUUUCUGGAUUACGAUGUUUGCCAGACUGAAGUAUAUAUAAUACG
RNAcentral lists this unclassified non-coding RNA (458 nucleotides) under Bombus terrestris (buff-tailed bumblebee). Its description in RNAcentral is "misc RNA ENSBTSG00005034955.1". Lineage: Eukaryota; Metazoa; Arthropoda; Insecta; Hymenoptera; Apidae. The record is from RNAcentral.